This 399-nucleotide ribosomal RNA is filed under the name uncultured bacterium. Its description in RNAcentral is "bacterial SSU rRNA". It matches the Rfam family "Bacterial small subunit ribosomal RNA", at positions 30 to 429 of the family's 1533-position model. The record is from RNAcentral.
AUUGAACGCUGGCGGCAUGCCUUACACAUGCAAGUCGAACGGCAGCACGGACUUCGGUCUGGUGGCGAGUGGCGAACGGGUGAGUAAUGUAUCGGAACGUACCUUUCAGUGGGGGAUAACGUAGCGAAAGUUACGCUAAUACCGCAUAUUCUGUGAGCAGGAAAGCAGGGGAUCGCAAGACCUUGCGCUGAUUGAGCGGCCGAUAUCAGAUUAGCUAGUUGGUGGGGUAAAGGCCUACCAAGGCUACGAUCUGUAGCGGGUCUGAGAGGAUGAUCCGCCACACUGGAACUGAGACACGGUCCAGACUCCUACGGGAGGCAGCAGUGGGGAAUUUUGGACAAUGGGGGCAACCCUGAUCCAGCCAUGCCGCGUGAGUGAAGAAGGCCUUCGGGUUGUAAG